UGCCAGCCGCCGCGGUAAUACAGAGGUCUCAAGCGUUGUUCGGAUUUACUGGGCGUAAAGCGUGCGUAGGCGGCGAGGUAAGUCAGAUGUGAAAGCUCAGGGCUCAACCCUGAAAUUGCAUCCGAUACUGCCUUGCUAGAGUAAUGGAGGGGAGUCUGGAAUUCAUGGUGUAGCAGUGAAAUGCGUAGAUAUCAUGAGGAACACUAGUGGCGAAGGCGAGACUCUGGACAUUUACUGACGCUCAGGCACGAAAGCGUGGGGAGCAAACCGGAUUAGAUA
RNAcentral lists this ribosomal RNA (279 nucleotides) under uncultured bacterium. Its description in RNAcentral is "partial 16S ribosomal RNA". It matches the Rfam family "Bacterial small subunit ribosomal RNA", at positions 506 to 784 of the family's 1533-position model. The record is from RNAcentral.